GGGAAAUAGUUUAUCUAUAACAGAAGAAAAGAUAAUUAUCAAAUCCAUAACAUUAUAAUUUUUUACCUAAAACGACAGGCUCUGCACAUGGCAACAAUUUGUACAGUUUAAGAAGAAGAUCUGACUACAGUUUUUCUUUUUCUUUUCUUUACACCCUUGUACAGUUACUCUAUCUCCGCGGCAGGGGCAUCCAGGUAUGUUUACCAUCUGAGCCUCACAGUUAAACCUGCUUAUAUAGAUUAUACCUCAAAACUAUAAUGUACAAUGUUACAAACACCAUCACUACAUGUUUAUUUUUCAAACAUUUUCCAUCAGCAAAGAGGUAGAACAAAAACUCUCGACAAGAAAACAAAGACGAGGGUACUUGUUCUAGCCUCAGUUAGCUGUACAAGUUUCCUACACCAUCUAAGCAGCAGCAGAAUAUGACGCCAGGAAGCUGAUCCUCCUCUCUCCAGCAGCAA
Molecule: unclassified non-coding RNA, 461 nt
Filed under: Hevea brasiliensis (rubber tree)
Lineage: Eukaryota; Viridiplantae; Streptophyta; Magnoliopsida; Malpighiales; Euphorbiaceae
Source: RNAcentral